GCACUCGUAGCUCAGUGGAUAGAGCAACCGCCUCCUAAGCGGUAGGUCGGAAGUUCAAGUCUUCUCGGGUGCGCCA
RNAcentral lists this transfer RNA (76 nucleotides) under Clostridia bacterium. RNAcentral describes it as "tRNA-Arg". It matches the Rfam family "tRNA". From Rfam's summary of the family: Transfer RNA (tRNA) molecules are approximately 80 nucleotides in length. Their secondary structure includes four short double-helical elements and three loops (D, anti-codon, and T loops). The record is from RNAcentral. Lineage: Bacteria; Bacillati; Bacillota; Clostridia.